UGCCCCGUGGUGUAAUGGUAACACUUCUGUUUUUGGUACAGAUAUUCCAGGUUCGAGUCCUGGCGGGGUAGC
RNAcentral lists this transfer RNA (72 nucleotides) under Phycisphaeraceae bacterium. RNAcentral describes it as "tRNA-Gln". It matches the Rfam family "tRNA". From Rfam's summary of the family: Transfer RNA (tRNA) molecules are approximately 80 nucleotides in length. The record is from RNAcentral. Lineage: Bacteria; Pseudomonadati; Planctomycetota; Phycisphaerae; Phycisphaerales; Phycisphaeraceae.